This 292-nucleotide ribosomal RNA is filed under the name uncultured bacterium. RNAcentral describes it as "partial 16S ribosomal RNA". It matches the Rfam family "Bacterial small subunit ribosomal RNA", at positions 505 to 796 of the family's 1533-position model. The record is from RNAcentral.
GUGCCAGCAGCCGCGGUAAUACGAACCCGACAAACGUUAUUCGGAAUUAUUGGGCUUAAAGGGUGCGUAGGCGGUGCGGUAAGUGCGGUGUGAAAUCCCUCGGCUCAACCGAGGAAUUGCGCUGCAUACUGCCGUGCUGGAGGGAGACAGAGGUAAGCGGAACUGAUGGUGGAGCGGUGAAAUGCGUUGAUAUCAUCAGGAACACCGGUGGCGAAAGCGGCUUACUGGGUCUCUUCUGACGCUGAGGCACGAAAGCUAGGGUAGCGAACGGGAUUAGAUACCCCAGUAGUCC